AAAUGAUUUAGUGAAAUAUUGAGUGCUAAAAUUCUACAACGAUAAACGUGGUCCAUCAUGGUCCCACCUCAUGCAGAGCGAACUAGGUUGUAGAAGAGUAGGGAGGGAGAAAGGAGAUGGAUGGGGCAGAGAGUGGGGAGCAAAGGUCAAGAUCAACAAACGUUUGGAGUGGGUAAGAGGGUUUCACUCAAAUGAAAACCCGAGCCUUCAGAAGAUAAUUCAGCCUGGAUGCUCAAUCUUGGACACAAAAUUCAGCCAGGGAUGCCAAGUUACAUUCAAUUUAGCAGUCCUAUCAUAUAGAGAAGCUGUUAAGGCUUUUAUUGAUGUAAUUUUACUUUUCACACUUCACAAAUAAAUUUUAAAGUAAACAUAACAUAAAAAAUUGUGAGAAAUGACCGUUUCCCUUAAAAUAUAUGUAUAUUACCUUUCUC
Pelobates cultripes (western spadefoot toad) is the source of this 431-nucleotide non-coding RNA. NCBI's taxonomy places the organism in Eukaryota, Metazoa, Chordata, Amphibia, Anura, Pelobatidae. The record is from the annotation of a GenBank genome assembly.